RNAcentral lists this ribosomal RNA (403 nucleotides) under uncultured bacterium. RNAcentral describes it as "partial 16S ribosomal RNA". It matches the Rfam family "Bacterial small subunit ribosomal RNA", at positions 30 to 526 of the family's 1533-position model. The record is from RNAcentral.
AUUGAACGCUGGCGGCAGGCCUAACACAUGCAAGUCGAGCGAGCGGCGGACGGGUGAUUAAUAUAUAGGGACUGCCCGAUAGAGGGGGAUAACUACUGGAAACGGUAGCUAAUCCCGCAUACUAUCGGAUAACCCAUAUGGGAUUAGCUAGUAGGUGAGGUAAUGGCUCACCUAGGCGACGAUCCCUAGCUGGUCUGAGAGGAUGAUCAGCCACACUGGAACUGAGACACGGUCCAGACUCCGACGGAGGCAGCAGUGGGGAAUAUUGGACAAUGGGCGAAAGCCUGAUGCAGCCAUGCCGCGUGUAUGAAGAAGGCCUUAGGAUUGUAAAGUACUUUCAGUCGGGAGGCGUUACCGACAGAAUAAGCACCGGCUAACUACGUGCCAGCAGCCGCGGUAAUUC